RNAcentral lists this long non-coding RNA (5859 nucleotides) under Vitis vinifera (wine grape). Its description in RNAcentral is "long non-coding RNA (VVIN_LNC005459)". Lineage: Eukaryota; Viridiplantae; Streptophyta; Magnoliopsida; Vitales; Vitaceae. The record is from RNAcentral.
UACACUUCAGUAAACUCUUUGAUUAUCAAGCAUCUCUUGCCCAGAAGUACAUUACUUACCGUAUGAUCCUGCCAUCACAUAGUGAAAUUUACACUGCUGAUCCAGUUAAUGUUGAAUAUAUACUCAAAACAAACUUCAUCAAUUAUGGCAAGGUAAUAAAAUUUCGUUUGGCUGAUUAGGUUUCAUCAGUAUUUGGAUUCACUAAAACUGAAAUUUGGUUGUGAUGUUUCCGCAGGGGGAGUAUCAUUGUGACAUAAUGAAAGAUCUGUUUGGGGAUGGAAUUUUUGCAGUGGAUGGAGAAAAAUGGCGCCACCAGCGGAAGCUUGCAAGUUAUGAAUUCUCAACGAAAGUUUUGCGAGAUUUCAGUACUUCUGUUUUUCAAGAUAAUGCUGCAAAAUUGGUUUUGAAGGUUUCUAUGGUGGCUGCAGCUAAGCAAAUGAUGGAUUUGCAGGUUUGUAGUAGGCUAGAAGCUGUAGAAUUUAAUGGGCCAUUAUCCUCGAUUCUAAAACAACUUCUAAGGACUUCUAAAUUAAAUGACUUCGAUUACUAAUUUUCGCUUCAGGUUUUUAGGUACCACCUGAUUCUAUGGAGUAGGUAAAAAGUUUGAUCUUAGGGUUUAAAUUCUUACAUGUUCAGUUAACUACAUGACUAAGUUUCAAAGUUUGGUACACUCCUUUUCUUCUAGAGAAAAAAGGUUUGUAAAUAUGCUAUUAUAAAUCUUGUUAACAUUCAAUAGUCUCAUUCUUCCUCUUCCUUGAUUGCAGGCACAACUUUUGCAUUCAGUAUUGAAUAACUGAGGAGCUUGUGUUUCUCUCAUUUCUUUUUUUUUUUUUUUAGGAUAUGUUGAUGAAAUCAACUUUGGACUCGAUUUUUAAGGUGGGAUUUGGGGUUGACCUGAAUUCUCUAUCUGGCUCAGAUGUUUUCGGAAAUCAAUUCAUCAAAGCCUUUGAUGAUUCUAAUGUCAUUGUGUAUUGGAGAUAUGUUGAUCUAUUAUGGAGGAUUAAGAGGUUCCUUAAUUUAGGCUUGGAAGCUGCUCUUAAGCAUAACAUCAAAGUCAUUGACAGUUUUAUUUUUGAAUUAAUUAGAUGCAAGAGGGAGCAGAUGAAGAAUAAAGAGCUUGAUGUAAGUAAAUUUUACCUUAAAAAGGUAUUCCUUGUGUGUGUUAUGGACUAAUGAAGUUUUUUGGCAACCAGAGAGGAAAAGAGGAUAUAUUAUCAAGGUUUCUGCUGGAGAGUAAGAAGGAUCCAAAGAAAAUGAAUGAUCGAUAUUUGAGAGAUAUAAUUCUCAGUUUCGUCAUUGCUGGUAAGGACACAUCUGCUGACACGCUUACUUGGUUCUUUUACUUGCUCUGCAAGCAUCCUCUGGUUCAAGAAAAGGUUGUGCUGGAGGUGAGAGAAGCAACUAAAGCUCAGAUUAACAUACCUGCUGAUGAGUUUGCCAAGAAGAUAACAGAAAAAUCCCUCGACAAGAUGCAGUAUCUUCAUGCAGCGUUAACUGAGACUCUCAGACUCUACCCAGCAGUUCCUAUGGUAAUGUGUGCACACUUUGAUCCAAGCCCAUGCCCGUUUUCCAUUUAUCCUCGUUGGUUACAAUAUGGAGGUGCAAAGGGCUUCACAACCUUGGCAGUGCCAUAUAAUCAUCAUAUAUUUUCCUAUGUUUAUGUGGGAAUUCUAUGUGGUGGGAUUCCUCCUUCCACCUGCACUUUUUCUUUUUUCAUAUUUGAGAUUAGGGAUCAGAUUUGAAAUACUUCUCAAUUGCAGCUCAAUUUCUAUGCUAUGUACCUAUAGGUCUCUGGUUUUGUGGGGUCAGACACAUAUUGUAACAAGAAGUUGUUCUUACCACUAAAACGAAGUGGGAGAAGAGUUGGAAUGGUGCUCCUUUAUCCAAACAGGGCCUAUUUGUUUUGUUAUAUCCUUUCAAAACCUGGUUUUCUUUUCUACUAUGGUACUGAGUUUUAGAGUGUAUAUAAGAAAAUUGUUGCAAAUGGGUGAGUAGUUGCACUUAAGUUACCAUUCAAACCUCCACAAUAUAAUUAAUUUUGGUGAUGUGAUCAGUGAAAUGCAAAUAUUUAUUUUCCUAGUUGGUCACUACCCAGGUUCAGAUUCUUUGAAGCAGCUAGGACCUUAAUGAAUUGGUUAAAUUCCAGUACUUUUUUUUAAUUAUUUAGAAGUUAAAGGAGACAAAAUUGCAACUUAAAACUAGAAUUUUCUAAUCUAUUGUACUCUAAAUACAGGAUGGAAAGCAUUCAGAAGAAGAUGAUAUUCUUCCUGAUGGCUUCAAAGUAAAGAAAGGAGAUGGUAUGUGCUACAUGGCUUAUGCCAUGGGGAGAAUGAGAUGCAUUUGGGGUGAGGAUGCGGGGGAGUUUCGACCUGAAAGAUGGCUUGAGAAUGGUGUUUUCCAACCUGAAAGUCCUUUUAAAUUCACUGCUUUUCAGGUAUGCAGCCAUUUUUCCAACUACAUAUACCACACACUUCUUGAUUCAUCGAUCUUAUAUAUAUACACAUAUAUCGUGACAAGGAAGAAGUAUUUUCUCAUUAUUUUUCAAUGUCAGGCUGGUCCUCGGAUUUGCUUGGGAAAGGAAUUUGCUUAUAGGCAACUGAAGAUCUUGGCUGCUGUUCUUGUCUACUUUUUUAAAUUCAAACUUGUGGAUGAGAGGAAGGAGGCCAGGUAUCGAACCAUGUUCACCCUUCACAUGGAUCAAGGUCUCCAUCUAUAUGCAUUUCCUAGACUGUAAAUCACAAAAAUGCAAAUCUUCUUCCAUGGUAUAGUCAUAUACCAUGGAGUGUCAUUUUCUUGGGAGAAUGUCUACUUUGAAAAAUCAUAGUUGAAGUGGUUGAAAAGUUAAGGGUGGGUCGAACAUCUGGAAAUUGAGAAGUGUGAACAUCUUCAUUUUGAAACUCAAAUUUUAUUUUAUUAUCUCAAUUAUGAAUUUCUUUAAUUAAUAUGUGAUAGUCAAAUAUCAAAAUAAAAUGCAACCACACAAUGGACAUGUGAUGUACUUGAAAAACUAUCUACACCAAUCCUAGAAUAAGUCCAUCAAAUAUGAAAGAGUAAGUACAUAAUAUUACCUGGAACAGACAUUACCUUCUCUCAAGAGUUUUAUACUAACCAAUAUCUACACUUGUGUUCCUGUUUGUGAUACAUCUUGUACUCCUCAUUGAACUCCUCAAUAAUUUGAAGGUGCAAUCAAUUACCAUGAACAAACCUUAAUAAAAAAUAAGGCUUUUGAAAGUGAUGAGAAUGUAUUGAAGAAUAAUGAUAUUAUUGUUCUAGGGCACUCCUCUACACAUUAUUUUUACACAAUCAAAAAUGACAAUCGAUAUACACCCUUUAAUGUUAUUAUCCACCCAUACAUGCUCAAUCACACUUAGCUGAUUAGUCCGAGGUUAGGAUUUAUGAUGAUAUCUGUGGACCCGCGUUUUUCACGUGCGUCCUCACUUGAAUGACGAGACUCGCUUUUUGUUUAUUUGUGAAAAGUUGAUUUUUAGAAAAAGACUUGGGUGGUGUUUGUUUUAUGGCUGAAUAAAAAAAAUCAAAAUAUUUGGUUUUUUCUAUUCAGUUAAAAGUAACCCAUUGACAUCAACGAACAUAAUUAAACUAAACUUAUUAAUAAGAAAUUUACUUUAAUUAUGUUGGUUAAUACCAAUAAGAUACUUUUAGCUUAAUAGAAAAAGUCAAAUAUUUUGACUUUUUCUAUUCAACUAAAAAACAAACACCACCUUGGAGUCACUAUUUAUUUUAAUUUUUUUUAAAGGGAAAACAAAAUAAGAAAGAAAAUCUUGUGUGACUAUUUAUUUGGAAAAGACAUGUUUGCAAAAACAGAAUGUGAAUCCAGGGGUCAGGUUGCCUAUUGGGAAGGUACGGUGGUAAGUCCUAUCAUCCCUCUAAGCUUAUAUACAUACGAUCUCUACUAAAUGAAUUAAGGAAAUUGUGACAAUUAAUUAAUUAAUUAUGGAUACUAAGAAAAAUAAUCAUGUAAAUGAGUAUAUACAAAUCAUGAUGAAAAUCAAUAUACAUAAAAAUAAUGAUGAAAUCUAAUCACAAGAAUACACAAAAUAAAUAAUAAGAGAAUUAUGCAAAAUGAUUUAUUGAACUAAAUAAAAAAAUAUUAAAAAAAAAUUAGUUUUCAAUAAAUUUCGAAGAAUUUUAUUAAAAACAAUUUUGAAUGAGUGAUUUCAAUUUAUUUAUUUACAAAGUAUUUUCUUCAAGUGAUUUGAUUCAAUUUUAUUUGUAUUUAAUUUUCAGAAAAGUUAUUUAUAUUUAUUGUAUCAAAAGAAUUUAUUACAAAAUUUUAAUUUGAGCACAAAAAUUAUUUUUACUUGUUUUUACAAAAAAGAAUGAAUUUUUACAAUUUUAUUUACAAAAGUAUGUCAAUUUGUUUUCAUUUAAGAAAAGUGAUUUAUACAAAUUAUUGAAAAAUACAUCACUUUAUUUGCAAAGAAUUUUUAAUUAAAAAGAAAAAAAUUUAAAUCCUCUAUUUCUAAAAAAACUUUUAAUCCCAUUUUAAUUAAGGAAAAAGAAUUCAUUAAAAAAAAUAUAUUUUUUGGACAAUUUUAUUAAAAAUUAAUUUUUGGAACAAGUUUAUUUAUAAAAUAAUUUUUGGACAAUUUUUAUUAAACAAAGAAAUUUUUGGACAAUUAUUAUUAAAAAAAAUUUUCAAAUUCUAUUAAAAACAUUCUUUUUGGAUUUUUCUAAAAGCAUUUUUUUUGAAUUAUUUUUAAUAAAAAACUUUCUUUUAUUAAGAAGAAUAUUUUAAAAUUAUUAUUUUAUUAAAACAUAUUUAUUGAAUUAUUCCUUUUAUUUAAACAAAUUUCUGAUUUGUUUGAUAUCUAAUUCUGUACACAAUAAGUAAGUAUAUAUAAAUAAAUAUUUACAGAAACUAAUAAAAAUAAAACCAAAUAAAAAAGUGAAAAAUAAAAUGUGUAUUCAAACAAGUUUACAACAAGUUUAAUGUCUUCCUACAAUUUUUCAAAAUCUCACUUUCUUCCAUGAAAUUUCAUACUUCACGUGUCAUUAAUUCGUACUCAACCAACAAGAUUGCAGAAUGGGCUUAUGUAAAAACAAAAAUAGUCCAAAUUUAAUAUUAAUUCACCAAAGUUUAGAAUAUGAUAAAUUAAAAUAAAUUUAAUUGGGCCUAAAUUUAAUAUUUCAUACUUCAAACCUAAUUUAAUACACCAACAUAAAUCCACAACUAAAACCAAAUCAAAUUUAAUAUAUAGAGCCCACAUGUAAUAAAAAAAAAAAAAAAUUAAGCCCAACUAGAUAUCCAAUAUGCAUACCCAAAUCUCAAAGCCCAAACAUAUGACCCAUAAAUAAACAUAAAUGGGUAAGCCCAUACCCAAAUUUCAAAGCCCAAACGUGAGACCCACAAACAAACACAAGCCCAAUUUCAAUAACAAUCACUAUUAAAAUCAAAGGAAAAAAAACUUACACAAUUUCAAAUUUUGGAAGGAAGGAUGAGAAAGUGAGAGAAAGUUGAGGAAAUGGAAGAGUGAGAGAGGGAAGGAGGGAGUUGCUGACCGGUAGUGGCUCGUUGGCGGCGAUUGACCGGUGGUCCUAUCGGCGGCAGGAGAGAUUGAUGGGUUUUUUUUGGAAAAUAAAAAAAAAAUAAAAAAAUAAAAAAAUGAAAAAAGGAGAAAAAGGAAUGGAAGGAAGGAAGGAAAUGAGAGGGGCGUGUGGUAGUGUAGUGUCUGGAAGAAGAAGAGCAAGUGGAAUGGGGAGGGAAAAAAAAUAGGGGUCGAUCACUGCCGUGUGUGGGAGUUGGGAAAGCAGGAGAAGAAAAAAAAAAAAAAUGAAAAGUGGAGAUGGGGACCGGCCACCUAGAAAAAUGAGAACAAACAAUGAAAAGAAAAAACAAAC